Molecule: non-coding RNA, 1167 nt
Organism: Meleagris gallopavo (turkey)
Lineage: Eukaryota; Metazoa; Chordata; Aves; Galliformes; Phasianidae
Source: RefSeq, a predicted model, not a curated record
AAGGUUGGAAAAGACCACUAAGAUCAUCUAGUUCAACCGUCAACCCAAAGAAAUUAGCAUAUGACUGGGUAAAUAAAUUUAGUUCAUUAAUAUAAAGCAUUUUGAGUCCUGUGUAUGUGGAGUUCCUUCUGGGAUACAAGCCUGGCAUAUAAUGUGUUUGGUUAUGGUGUUUUGUUCUUAGCGUUUUGAGAAGGAUCUGAUGCUGAAAUGGGCAUACUUCGGAGUAGUGAUCUCAUCCUGCACAUGAUGGAAUAAGUGCUUUACUGAAUAUUUGUACAGAUUUCUGAAAGGGAUAUGCAAUAAUAUCUUGGGAUUAAUAUAAUCUCUGAAUUACUUGGACAGUUUGCCAGUAUGUGAUGUAAUUACUAUUAGGUUCCAGGUCAAAGUUUGACCCAGUGAGGUCACCCGUUGUUUUCAUUGUUGCUUCUGAUUUUACAGGUUGUAGAAAGCUACGUGCGGGAUACACAAAAAGAGGAAAUAACAUUACAUUCAUGGACUAUUUUAAGACCUGGGAUUAACUGCUUAACUUUGAAAGCAUUUAAAAAAAAAAGAGAGAGAAAACAUGGCAAGUUGAACAAUAUUAGAACAUGAUCUGCUGGCAUUCAGUUGAAUACUGUCAUUUAAGUUACUCAGAUGUAGAGAGAGAAAACAAUGUGCAGAUUCUGCAAGGGGUUCAGCUCCUCUGGUCAUGGACAAGGAUAAAAGUUCACCUAUCUGUGCAAGCGGCGCUGGUACCCUGACUGCACGAUGUGACCCUGCACACAGGAGGCUGUGUGCCUUUGUUCCAGCACCAGCAAUGCACUUUUCCCUUGACUUCCAGCACAUGCUCCUCAGGUCGACUUUACCUGCAGUGCUGAGCUCUGGUGACAGCAUGCUAUUGUGACUUGCAUCGAGCAGGAAGCUUUCAAAGCCACGUGCCAAAGAGAUCCCUCAGUCCCAGCAGAGGGUGAGGCAGGACCCGGCAGUAGGGCUCAAGAGGAGGAACUGCUGAGAACGACACUUCUCGUUUCCAGAAAUGAGAAGAACCAAGAGCUGCGUGCAGAUUCCUCCAGGAAUGCGAUGAGAAGGGCUGCACCAUCCCUGUCCUGCUGCGGGAAGGGAGGCACUUCUCUCUCCUUUCCCACUUUCUGUAAAACACCACUUACUAUAAAAGGACAGCUGGAUCCG